UACGUAGGUGGCAAGCGUUAUCCGGAAUUAUUGGGCGUAAAGAGCGCGCAGGUGGUUGAUUAAGUCUGAUGUGAAAGCCCACGGCUUAACCGUGGAGGGUCAUUGGAAACUGGUCGACUUGAGUGCAGAAGAGGGAAGUGGAAUUCCACGUGUAGCGGUGAAAUGCGUAGAGAUAUGGAGGAACACCAGUGGCGAAGGCGGCUUCCUGGUCUGUAACUGACACUGAGGCGCGAAAGCGUGGGGAGCAAACAGGAUUAGAUACCCU
Molecule: ribosomal RNA, 265 nt
Filed under: uncultured prokaryote
Description: partial 16S ribosomal RNA
Rfam family: Bacterial small subunit ribosomal RNA
Source: RNAcentral